Molecule: ribosomal RNA, 737 nt
Filed under: uncultured bacterium
Lineage: Bacteria
Description: bacterial SSU rRNA
Rfam family: Bacterial small subunit ribosomal RNA
Source: RNAcentral
CAUGCAAGUCGAACGAGAAUCUACUGAAAGAGUUUUCGGACGAUGGAAGUAGAGGAAAGUGGCGGACGGGUGAGUAACGCGUGAGGAACCUGCCUUGAAGAGGGGGACAGCAGUUGGAAACGACUGCUAAUACCGCAUGGAGCAUAGGGGUCGCAUGAUUCUUAUGCCAAAGAUUUAUCGCUUCAAGAUGGCCUCGCGUCUGAUUAGCUAGUUGGCGGGGUAACGGCCCACCAAGGCGACGAUCAGUAGCCGGACUGAGAGGUUGAACGGCCACAUUGGGACUGAGAUACGGCCCAGACUCCUACGGGAGGCAGCAGUGGGGAAUAUUGGGCAAUGGGCGCAAGCCUGACCCAGCAACGCCGCGUGAAGGAAGAAGGCUUUCGGGUUGUAAACUUCUUUUAAGAGGGAAGAGCAGAAGACGGUACCUCUAGAAUAAGCCACGGCUAACUACGUGCCAGCAGCCGCGGUAAUACGUAGGUGGCAAGCGUUGUCCGGAUUUACUGGGUGUAAAGGGCGUGCAGCCGGGUCUGCAAGUCAGAUGUGAAAUCCAUGGGCUCAACCCAUGAACUGCAUUUGAAACUGUAGAUCUUGAGUGUCGGAGGGGCAAUCGGAAUUCCUAGUGUAGCGGUGAAAUGCGUAGAUAUUAGGAGGAACACCAGUGGCGAAGGCGGAUUGCUGGACGAUAACUGACGGUGAGGCGCGAAAGUGUGGGGAGCAAACAGGAUUAGAUACCCUGG